RNAcentral lists this non-coding RNA (2230 nucleotides) under Pan troglodytes (chimpanzee). The record is from RNAcentral. Lineage: Eukaryota; Metazoa; Chordata; Mammalia; Primates; Hominidae.
AUAAUUCAGCGGCAACGCAGCUGGGGCCUGGCACACAGGGUCCCUGUGAUGAGGAGGGGCUGCCCCUGCCAGAAUGCACCAGAGGCUGCCACCAGGGAGAGAGUUACAAGGACCACUUCUGUGGACCUGGCAGGUCCUAGGGCCCCCUUUAAAACUGUGCCUGGGGAGAGUCCCUGGCGCUGCUCCGGAGGAUCAUGGAGCCCGACUCUACUCAUAGGGGAGACCACACGGCUUCUGCGGGGCAAGACAGCUGAGGAGCAUGUCAGGACAGUGCCAUCUGCCACCGAGGCAGCUCCAGAGAGUGGGACAGCUGUGAGAGGCGGGACCUGUCCAGGCUCCCUGACGGGCACUCACAGCCCCCUUCACCCUCAGCGAGGCACUUGCCCCAAUGAAAACUGAGCAGUUGGACAAUCUGAUGUCUUGGAGGGUCCAGAGUCUCACUCUGUUGCCCAGGCUGGAGUGCGAUGGCAUGAUCUCGGCUCCCUGCAAUCUCCACCUCCCAGGUUCAAGCAAUUCUCCUACCUCAGCCUCCUGAGUAGCUGGGAUCACAGGCACACACCACCAUGCCCAGCUAAUUUUUGUAUUUUUAGUAGAGACGGGGUUUCACCAUGUUGGCCAGGCUGGUCUCCAACUCCUGACCUCAAGUGAUCAGCCUGCCUCGGGCUCCUAAAGUGCUGGGAUUACAGGCGUGAGCCACCGCGCCCGGCCAUAGGGCAUCCUCUUAAUUAGAGUGUGAGGCCUGCGGAUAUGGGCUGGGGAAUAAGUUGAUGCUGACAGAAAAUAACUUAAAACAUUGAAAGGAACAGGAAGUAAACAGAAGCAAAUAUUUACCGAAUCCCUGGUGAGAAGGAACUUUCCAAGAAUAAAGGGAAGGAUGAGUUCACUUUGACUGUGUGGAAGCUAAAUUCUCAGGUGGCUCAAAGGAAAACAUCAAGCUAAAAGACAAGCAAUGAGGCGGGUAAAUUUUUGACACUAACAUGACAAAAAAUUAAUAGCAUUAACACGGCAGGAACUUAUCUGAAGCAGCAACACCAAGGGCAAUGUGAGCGAACUGCAGACAAGGCAACCCGGACGCCAUGGGGACGCGCCACAGAGCAGGCUGCCUUGUCCCCACUCUGCCUACGUGUGAGACCCACCAGACUCACAGUGAACACAUCCCAGCCCCUCCGGCCGGGCACCACGGAAGGCCCUCCCUCCUCCACUGAGGGCAGGGAUCACAGGGCCAGGUUUUUGUCAUCGGACAAGGGGUGUCCCAAGUCAUGAGAUGCUUAACCCAUGAAUGCCCCCUCUUGGAGUCUAUGCUAAUUAAACACUUAGAGGGGCGGACUUCACUCUGCCAGCUCAGAUAAUGACCACAGCAUAUUUAUAACUGCAAAAAGGUGGAAACAGCUACACUAUCCAACAGUGGGGAAAUGUUUAAGUCAAUGCUGGGAGAGUAACACCAUGGACCAGCCCCGAAGAGACAUCUGUGGUGAGUGAAAUGCACGCCAUACAAGCCCAGAGAGACUGUGAACUUGGAAGAAAGAAUAGGUGCACACAAUAAGACUGGGAGGAAAUGAACAAACUAUCAUUGGCCAUGAGGUUCUCCUUUACUUACAAUAAGUAUAUGCAACACAGACAUGAGAAAGGCAUUCCUGGAGUGUGAAGCUCAGGACAAGAGGAUGCGGGGUGUCCUGAGCAAACAAUAAUGCCAGCACCUUCUGCAAGGAGCUCUGCUGGGCCACCUCUUGGGCAACAAACUAUCCUGGCACAUCUUGCAGACAAGGAAACAAGCUUCAGGAGGCAAUGGUGCCUCUUGAAGGGCAGGGCACACAGCCACAGGGCCACCUUCUGCAUGGCUCCCACCGCAGCUGAGUCUCCAAGGAAGCUGGGUUUUUACAGGGGCAGGUCCUCAAGGUGGAUACCCCUUUGCUAAAGGCUCUGCCCCAGCAACCCGCAAGCAGCCACUUGCCCUGGGCUCCAGGUGGCUGCCCUCCCCUUGCUGUCCUCUGGACUGUUUAGUAUGCAGAAGGACCAGCCCUGCAAGGCCACCAUAAAUCCUGCCCCUGUCCUACAGCAGAUCAAUUGCCAAUCGGCUCCAAAUCCCCUAGAUGUCUCAGCAGCUUGGCCCAGCUGUAGGAGCCAUGGCCAUGGUUGGCUCUAGAUGCUGCUGGCUAUAUAUAUUGAACUUGAAGCAUCAGAUUACAUGUUUGUUCAAUAGCAAUAAACUCCCAAAGUUUUAUGGGGUCAU